AUUGAACGCUGGCGGCAUGCUUUACACAUGCAAGUCGAGCGGCAGCGCGGGGGCAACCCUGCGGCGAGCGGCGAACGGGUGAGGAACACAUCGGAACGUGCCCCGGAGUGGGGGAUAACGCCGCGAAAGCGGCGCUAAUACCGCAUAUGCUCUGAGGAGGAAAGCGGGGGACCAGCAAUGGCCUCGCGCUCUGGGAGCGGCCGAUGUCCGAUUAGCAGUUGGUGGGGUAAUGGCCCACCAAGGCGACGAUCGGUAGCUGGUCUGAGAGGAUGAUCAGCCACACUGGGACUGAGACACGGCCCAGACUCCUACGGAGGCAGCAGUGGGGAAUUUUGGACAAUGGGGGCAACCCUGAUCCAGCCAUGCCGCGUGCGGGAAGAAGGCCU
This 386-nucleotide ribosomal RNA is filed under the name uncultured bacterium. Its description in RNAcentral is "bacterial SSU rRNA". It matches the Rfam family "Bacterial small subunit ribosomal RNA", at positions 28 to 417 of the family's 1533-position model. The record is from RNAcentral.